AGUGAACGCUGGCGGUAGGCCUAACACAUGCAAGUCGAACGGCAGCACAGUAAGAGCUUGCUCUUACGGGUGGCGAGUGGCGGACGGGUGAGGAAUACAUCGGAAUCUACUUUUUCGUGGGGGAUAACGUAGGGAAACUUACGCUAAUACCGCAUACGACCUACGGGUGAAAGCAGGGGAUCUUCGGACCUUGCGCGAUUGAAUGAGCCGAUGUCGGAUUAGCUAGUUGGCGGGGUAAAGGCCCACCAAGGCGACGAUCCGUAGCUGGUCUGAGAGGAUGAUCAGCCCCACUGGAACUGAGACACGGUCCAGACUCCUACGGGAGGCAGCAGUGGGGAAUAUUGGACAAUGGGCGCAAGCCUGAUCCAGCCAUACCGCGUGGGUGAAGAAGGCCUUCGGGUUGUAAAGCCCUUUUGUUGGGAAAGAAAAGCAGCAGGUUAAUACCCCGCUGUUCUGACAGUACCCAAAGAAUAAGCACCGGCUAACUUCGUG
Molecule: ribosomal RNA, 492 nt
Filed under: uncultured bacterium
Lineage: Bacteria
Description: partial 16S ribosomal RNA
Rfam family: Bacterial small subunit ribosomal RNA
Source: RNAcentral